UACGAAGGGGGCUAGCGUUGUUCGGAAUUACUGGGCGUAAAGCGCGUGUAGGCGGGUCUUUAAGUCAGGGGUGAAAUGCCAAGGCUCAACCUUGGAACUGCCUUUGAUACUGGAGAUCUUGAGUCCGGGAGAGGUGAGUGGAGUUGCGAGUGUAGAGGUGAAAUUCGUAGAUAUUCGCAAGAACACCAGUGGCGAAGGCGGCUCACUGGCCCGGAACUGACGCUGAGACGCGAAAGCGUGGGGAGCAAACAGG
Molecule: ribosomal RNA, 253 nt
Filed under: uncultured bacterium
Lineage: Bacteria
Description: partial 16S ribosomal RNA
Rfam family: Bacterial small subunit ribosomal RNA
Source: RNAcentral